UACGAAGGGGGCUAGCGUUGUUCGGAAUUACUGGGCGUAAAGCGCGCGCAGGCGGCUAUCCAAGUCAGAGGUGAAAGCCCGGGGCUCAACUCCGGAACUGCCUUUGAAACUAGAUUGCUAGAAUCUUGGAGAGGCGAGUGGAAUUCCGAGUGUAGAGGUGAAAUUCGUAGAUAUUCGGCAGAACACCAGUGGCGAAGGCGACUCGCUGGACAAGUAUUGACGCUGAGGUGCGAAAGCGUGGGGAGCAAACAGG
Molecule: ribosomal RNA, 253 nt
Filed under: uncultured bacterium
Lineage: Bacteria
Description: partial 16S ribosomal RNA
Rfam family: Bacterial small subunit ribosomal RNA
Source: RNAcentral